This 252-nucleotide unclassified non-coding RNA is filed under the name Hevea brasiliensis (rubber tree). Lineage: Eukaryota; Viridiplantae; Streptophyta; Magnoliopsida; Malpighiales; Euphorbiaceae. The record is from RNAcentral.
GCUGGUUGCAAAUUCACCCCUGUAGCAGUAGAAAUUGAAGAUCCAGACCAAAAAAUAUACCAAUCAGAGGGAGGCAGCAGAAGCGAAGAGUGGACUAGGUUGCAUGAGGACUCCGACCACCAUAAGAUGCACACACUAGUCCUUUGCCAAUUGAUACAUAUUUGACAGCAAAGACAGACCAGAAUCUGUCACACUGAACUGCUACAGGGGUGAAUUUGCAACCAGCUCCUAGUAAUCAUACGUUAAACUUGC